This 3681-nucleotide long non-coding RNA is filed under the name Anolis carolinensis (green anole). RNAcentral describes it as "lncRNA (ENSACAG00000043257.1)". The record is from RNAcentral. Lineage: Eukaryota; Metazoa; Chordata; Lepidosauria; Squamata; Anolidae.
AUGGGCCCAAGGAUCCGCUAUGAGAUAAGGAUCACAUUGGCCAAGGAGAAUGAGAUGGCAGAAGCCACAUCCAGCGGUGGCCACGCGUGUGGGGAGGGAGCCCUUUCUCCAGGGUUUGCUGAGCCCCAGGAAACGGAGGAGCAGCAACGUCACGCCGAACUGGCCCGACCGGCUCCGCCACUGUCAGCACGAAAGGAAUUCCAAAACUGCACAGGGCUCCACGGGGUGGGAACCUGUGAGGUGUGCGGGCAGGCACUCACCUGCGACAGUGCGAACCCGGCAGCCGCGGAAGAAGCACCUCUGCAGGGGGGCUCCCAGGCCAGGCGAGCGGGGGGACAGGGCCCGGGCCCAGCCGAGGAGCAGCUCCCGCCCCGGGAUGGACUUCUAGCCAAAGGGACCGAGAUCCUCGCAUCGGAAUCCCCGGCCAACAGCUUUUGCAAAUUGGGUGGGAUUUCUCAGGCGUCCAGCAAAAGGGAGUUGCCCCCCGAAAGGCCGCGUGACAUCGAGAGAGGCCUGCUUCCCAUUGAGUGCAACAUGGAAAAAGCCACCGUUAGCUCCCACCGGCCAGGGCGGUCCAAUGAGAAUACUUCAUUCAAAUGGAAGAAAGCGGCUGGUGACUCUCCGAACCAAGAAGACAAGCCUUCCCCCAGCAAAGCGGGACCCCACCGGGCAGAGAGAGGGGGGUCCCGGUCCCAAAGCCCCUCUCGCGUGUCCGUGCUCCUGGAGGCCUGGGAGAAGGGCCUUGUGGGGACGGACGCCCUCGACUCGCCGUCUUCCACGGAACUCCGGCGCUCCACAUCCACCGUGCACAGCAGGCGCUUGUGCUUCUCCAAAGAGGCUUCCCAACCCCGUUUCCCAACAAAUGCCAAGAGUCCUGUUUCGCCGAACGGGGACGGCAGGAGAUCCGUUUCCCCGGCUGGGGCCAAGAGAUGCUUUUCUCCGGCCGAGAACCGGCGCCCGCUUUCUCCGACAGAUCCAAAGCGGUCCCGGUCUCCGGCAGAAGCCAGGCGAGCCCUUUCUCCGGUCAACGCCAGGCAGACCCUUCCCACGAUAGAAAGCAGGAGGUCCUUUUUCCUAGAAGAAGCCAAGAAGGCCAUGGCCGAGGUAGAACCCAGGCCUUCCUUUUCCCGGGCAGAGAAGAGGCGCUCUCGUCCUCCGUCAGAUACCCGGCGCUCUCCUUCGCCAGCCCGGACCCGGCGCUCCCAUUCUCCGGCCAACGUCAGGCGAGCUCCGUCUCCAUCAAACACCAGGUAUGCUGGAGAUGCUCGCUCGCGCCGGUCCUCCGGAGAUGUCCAGGGCCCACCUUCUCCAACCGAAGGCCGAUACACCUUUUCCAUGGUGGAAAGCUAUGACGCUUCCUCCCCAUCUCCAGACACCAGGUCCUUGCCUUCUGUGGCGGACAUCAGGCGCUUAUACUCCCCAGGAAAUGCCAAGCACUCAGCGGAUGGUGGACCGUUGUCUUCUUCAGCCUCUACUCGGUGCUCGUCCUCCCUGGUUGAGAGAAGGCACUUGUCCACCUCCACCGAAGCCAAAGACUCCUCUUCUCUGUCGGAUCCCAAAUGGCCAUUUCCCGCUGCAGAAGCCACCGGCGUUGAUGCCAAGUUCUCGUGUUCUCUGGCCGAUAGCAAGCGCUCCCCGUCUCCGAAUGAGUCUAGAAGUUUUGCUCCCAUUUCCCAGUGCGGGAAGCUUUCCCGUUCCCUUAGCCCUCAGAAAGAUUGCACAACCCACGGGCCGGUCUACGCGCAAGUGUAUUCCCCGGAGCCGAAGCCAAAUCUCCUGGUAACAACAAAAAAGAAAGAGACAAAUGACGCAACGGUGUCCCAAGGAGAAAACCAUGCUGGUGGCGGUGGUGCUACUAACACCUUCCUGGAGAGAGAGCUGCACAUCGCAAACGGAUCCCAGGAGGAAAAUAUUUCUGGCAUCCAGAAAAACGAUGCGUCAAAUAGUGCCGGCUCCGCUCCAGGAUCGUUCAACGCUACGAACACGCAACCAUCUGCGGGGCCUUGCGUGUUGAGUCCCUUGCCCCGUGUUGUCAGCUCCAGCACUGUCGCCAGAUCGCAGACCCAGUGGUAUUCUCCCAAGAGCGGCAACAUGGUUGUUUAUAGAUCCGAAAGGCAACUCAUUGUACCGCAAGGCGGGACUGCUACCGUCUACAGAGCCGGGCGAGAGAUUGUCAUGUCCAGCUCCGCGACAGGAAGCGGGAGCAAAUCCAAGCAAGAGAACACCUUUGCCUCCCGUUCCGUCGUCGCAAGCGUUCCGCCCAACGAAAACAGCCAACCCCAGGAGGGUGUCCCUGAGACCGAGCCGCCACAAAACAUCUCCACAUCCUUCUCAGAUGCUUGUAACCAUACUACAAGUUCGCAGCCAGAAAGCAGCGUGACUCAAUCCAGAAAUGCCGGCGUGAGCGAUGCCCAGAGGGAAAGGUGUACGUUCACAUCAAACGGAGAUGCUGCCACCACGUUUGGGGAGGGAGUUGCUCCUCCGCGAGACUACAGCCGGAACAUCAAGCCUGUCUUCAGGACACACGGGAGCUUGUUUGCAGAGAGCGCCAUGGCAAAUGGGACGGCACAAGACAGGCAUGCAUCACGGGGGGAGAUGGCCACGUUAUCUGGAGGUCAGGACAUUCUUCUAGAGAACAAGAAACUCACCAGGUGGACUGAGAUAACCGAAGAACAACGAGGCCCAAGGAAAGAUCCACAGGUAUUUACACCACAACCAAGCACAAUGUUGGCGGAGACCACAACCUCCUCCCAGAAACCUCAUGGAAACAGCAACCGGGCGGCAGAAUCGGAACCAGAGGAGUAUGUGGACAUGGACCUGUUUGUGGACACUCUCCGUAACAUGGGACCUGCCGAAUGUCGAAAGGCUUUGAAGCACCUGCCCCGGUCUCCCCGGCUCUCCUCUCUGGCACGCAACACGUCUCUUCCUCCCAUCCACGAAGACCACAUCACACUAAGGUCACAGGUGCCUCCCGCGUCCGUUCCCGGAGAGUUGCUUGCCAUCACCGAAGAGAAGACCUCCGAAGAAAGAGAGGGGCUCAAGUACAACGAAGAAGAAGCGACGGAGGAAAUCGAGAACCCUUAUCUCAGCAUGGACGAGCACAGCGAAGACCAGGCCCGGAUGUUCUACCCUUGGGAAAGCCGGACGUUCAGGAACGAAGAGGAAUUUGGCUCUUUCCUGGGCAAGUUGCACCAAGGACCCGGGGAUCCGGAAAUGACCGUCAUGGGCCCCAAUGUCGUCUUGACCAACCAGAACAACAUGAUCAGGUCCAACGUCCUCAAAGGGGUCUCUCUCCUGUCCGGCCUCCCUGACAAGAAGGCGGCCGACGACAACAAGCCUUAUUCCCGCCUGGACAACAGCCUCCUCUACAGCAGGUUCAUCUCUCCGGAGAAGUCCCAGUUCAGGGAUGCCAUGAAAGGCCAGGAGAUGCGGUGCCCUAUCGUUUUGAUGAACCCGGCCAACCCAAAGGAAUGCCAGGCCUUCUCAAGUGGGGCUCGGAUGGACAAUGCUUACGAACUUCGGAGCGCUGAGCUGCCACAGCCUGUGGUGCGAGUGGAGCCUUCCUACCGGGUGCUGGGAGCAAGCUGGAACGCCAAGGAGAUGGCCACUCGCUCCAAGGCCACAGAGUCCACGUCCCGGCCAGAUGUUCAGGUGAGCCAAUGUAUGUUGUGUAAGGAGUAA